UACUGCAGUGAAGGCACUUGUAG
Molecule: non-coding RNA, 23 nt
Filed under: Xenopus laevis (African clawed frog)
Lineage: Eukaryota; Metazoa; Chordata; Amphibia; Anura; Pipidae
Also listed under: 2 other names
Gene: xla-miR-17-3p
Source: miRBase by way of RNAcentral